Molecule: ribosomal RNA, 465 nt
Filed under: Vreelandella stevensii
Lineage: Bacteria; Pseudomonadati; Pseudomonadota; Gammaproteobacteria; Oceanospirillales; Halomonadaceae
Description: partial 16S ribosomal RNA
Rfam family: Bacterial small subunit ribosomal RNA
Source: RNAcentral
CCUACGGGAGGCAGCAGUGGGGAAUAUUGGACAAUGGGGGCAACCCUGAUCCAGCCAUGCCGCGUGUGUGAAGAAGGCCCUCGGGUUGUAAAGCACUUUCAGUGAGGAAGAACGCCUGGUGGUUAAUACCCAUCAGGAAAGACAUCACUCACAGAAGAAGCACCGGCUAACUCCGUGCCAGCAGCCGCGGUAAUACGGAGGGUGCGAGCGUUAAUCGGAAUUACUGGGCGUAAAGCGCGCGUAGGUGGCUUGAUAAGCCGGUUGUGAAAGCCCCGGGCUCAACCUGGGAACGGCAUCCGGAACUGUCAAGCUAGAGUGUAGGAGAGGAAGGUAGAAUUCCCGGUGUAGCGGUGAAAUGCGUAGAGAUCGGGAGGAAUACCAGUGGCGAAGGCGGCCUUCUGGACUGACACUGACACUGAGGUGCGAAAGCGUGGGUAGCAAACAGGAUUAGAUACCCUAGUAGUC